AACGCACCUUGCGCUCCCUGGUAUUCCGGGGAGCACGCCUGUUCGAGUGUCAUAAAACUAUCAAGCAAGAUAGAUUUAUUUCUAUCUCUGUUUGGAUUUGGGCUCUGCUGCGUCAAUGCGGCUAGUCUUAAAUAUAUUAGCUGGUCCUAGUGAAGGUUUGGUUCUACUCAGCAUGAUAAUUAUCUGAUGUUGAGGACAGUCUCAGGACUGGCCAAGGCUCUCUUUGGAUUGCUUCUAAUCGUCUUUGGACAAUUAUUCAAUAUCUGACCUCGAAUCAGGUGGGACUACCCGCUGAACUUAA
RNAcentral lists this unclassified non-coding RNA (301 nucleotides) under uncultured fungus. RNAcentral describes it as "partial contains 5.8S ribosomal RNA, internal transcribed spacer 2, and large subunit ribosomal RNA". The record is from RNAcentral. Lineage: Eukaryota; Fungi.